GCAGUACAAGAUUCACUAGCGGUAUGCACUUCUGCACUUGACUACCUCAUCUUUGCAUACUCAAUUUCUGACAAAUGAUUCCCCCGCAAAGAAAAUAAAAAUAAAAAGCUAACAUUUGCAUAGAUACAUGAUAUAUUCCCUGUUUGCAUAAGUUGCUCAUUAUUGCGCAUCUUUCUUAUUUUUAGUUUCAAUUUCCAUUUUAGGUUUGUCUGGAA
Molecule: unclassified non-coding RNA, 215 nt
Filed under: Hevea brasiliensis (rubber tree)
Lineage: Eukaryota; Viridiplantae; Streptophyta; Magnoliopsida; Malpighiales; Euphorbiaceae
Source: RNAcentral